UAGAUGCGAGAGUAGAGCAUAUCAAUAAGCGGAGGAAAAGAAACUAACUAGGAUUCCCUCAGUAACGGCGAGUGAAGCGGGAAGAGCUCAAAUUUGAAAUCUUCAAGGUUCUACCUUGACGAAUUGUAGUUUAUAGAAGUGUUUUCUGUUAGUAGAGUGGCAAAAGUUCUUUGGAAUAGGACAUCAUAGAGGGUGAGAAUCCCGUAUUUGGUCAUUCUUUCUAGCUUUGUGAUACACUUUCAACGAGUCGGAUUGUUUGGGAAUGCAGUCCAAAAUGGGUGGUAAAUUUCAUCUAAAGCUAAAUAUCGGCGAGAGACCGAUAGCGAACAAGUACCGUGAGGGAAAGAUGAAAAGAACUUUGAAAAGAGAGUUAAACAGUACGUGAAAUUGUCAAAAGGGAAGCGUUUGACACCAGUGUUGUUUUUCCGAAAAUCAAUUACGAAUGUUUUGUUUUUAAGGAGUUAUGACUUCAUCGGCUUGCUUCUUUCUUUACGAAACUUUCUUAAUGCACUUUUCGGUUAACAAGUCAACAUCAAUUUCUUUUGUUGUAAAAGGGUAUGAGGAAGGUGGCUUUCUUUUCGGAGAAAGUGUUUAUAGCCUUGUGCCUCUGCAAUCGGAGAGAUUGAGGUCUGCAGCGUAGAUCCUUCGGGGUUAGAUACGUUGGUGCUAAGUUAUAGCUUUUCAUAGACAACUUGUUGACUAUGUUUAGUCUUGUAGCUUACUCGCUGACGCUAUUUUACCUACGCUUAGGAUGUUGACGCGCGUGUGUGCGUG
Molecule: ribosomal RNA, 774 nt
Filed under: uncultured Neocallimastigales
Lineage: Eukaryota; Fungi; Neocallimastigomycota; Neocallimastigomycetes; Neocallimastigales
Description: partial large subunit ribosomal RNA
Rfam family: Eukaryotic large subunit ribosomal RNA
Source: RNAcentral